AACCCGAAAAAUACGAACAUAUGUUUAAAACUCAAAGAUUUUGGCGGUGUCUUAUAUAACCAGGGGAACCUGUCUCAUAACUCGAUAGUCCACGAAUACCAAACCCUUUCUAGAUACCUCAGCAUGUGUACUGCCGUCGUAAGCACACCUCUAAAAGUACUAAGUGUGCAACUAUGAUUAAUCAUAUACGUCAGGUCAAAGUGCAGCCAAUGAAAGGGUGAUGAUGGGUUACAAUCCUAACAAAGAAAUGGAAUAUACUUACUAACUAAUAUAUAAAGGUGGACUUGGCUGUAAUAUUAGUAAUACUAAAAUGAACCAGAAUCUAAGACAUGCACACAUCGCCCGUCACUCUCGUUCUAAGAUG
RNAcentral lists this ribosomal RNA (364 nucleotides) under Dendrobaena attemsi. Its description in RNAcentral is "partial 12S ribosomal RNA". It matches the Rfam family "Bacterial small subunit ribosomal RNA", at positions 875 to 1413 of the family's 1533-position model. The record is from RNAcentral. Lineage: Eukaryota; Metazoa; Annelida; Clitellata; Crassiclitellata; Lumbricidae.